GUUAUAGGGACAAGCGAAUAAGUGCACAUGGUGGAUGCCUUGGCGAUUACAGGCGAUGAAGGACGUAGUAGCUUGCGAUAAGCUGCGGGGAGUGAGCAAACACACUUUGAUCCGCAGAUUUCCGAAUGGGGCAACCCACCCUUUUAGGGUAUUGCAUACUGAAUACAUAGGUAUGCAAGGCGAACGCGGCGAACUGAAACAUCUAAGUAGCUGCAGGAAAAGAAAUCAACCGAGAUUCCCAAAGUAGCGGCGAGCGAAAUGGGAAGAGCCUGUACGUGAUAGUCGGACCGAUAACAGAAUCCUCUGGAAAUAGGAGCCAUAGCGGGUGAUAGCCCCGUAUGUGAAAUCGGACCGGUGGUACUAAGCGUACGACAAGUAGGGCGGGACACGUGACAUCCUGUCUGAAUAUGGGGGGACCAUCCUCCAAGGCUAAAUACUCGUAAUCGACCGAUAGUGAACCAGUACCGUGAGGGAAAGGCGAAAAGAACCCCGGAAGGGGAGUGAAAUAGAUCCUGAAACCGUGUGCAUACAAACAGUAGGAGCGGACUUGUUCCGUGACUGCGUACCUUUUGUAUAAUGGGUCAGCGACUUACAUUCAGUGGCAAGGUUAACCGAAUAGGGAAGCCGUAGAGAAAUCGAGUCCGAAUAGGGCGAUCAGUCGCUGGGUGUAGACCCGAAACCAAGUGAUCUACUCAUGGCCAGGAUGAAGGUGCGGUAACACGCCCUGGAGGUCCGAACCCACUAAUGUUGAAAAAUUAGGGGAUGAGCUGUGGGUAGGGGUGAAAGGCUAAACAAACUUGGAAAUAGCUGGUUCUCUCCGAAAACUAUUUAGGUAGUGCCUCAAGUAUCACCAUCGGGGGUAGAGCACUGUUAUGGCUAGGGGGUCAUUGCGACUUACCAAACCAUUGCAAACUCCGAAUACCGAUGAGUGCGAGCUUGGGAGACAGACGUCGGGUGCUAACGUCCGGCGUCAAGAGGGAAACAACCCAGACCGCCAGCUAAGGUCCCAAAGAUUGGCUAAGUGGAAAACGAAGUGGGAAGGCUAAAACAGUCAGGAUGUUGGCUUAGAAGCAGCCAUCAUUUAAAGAAAGCGUAAUAGCUCACUGAUCGAGUCGUCCUGCGCGGAAGAUGUAACGGGGCUAAGCCAGUCACCGAAGCUGCGGAUAU
RNAcentral lists this ribosomal RNA (1167 nucleotides) under Stenotrophomonas sp. HMWF022. Its description in RNAcentral is "bacterial LSU rRNA". It matches the Rfam family "Bacterial large subunit ribosomal RNA", at positions 1 to 1209 of the family's 2925-position model. Lineage: Bacteria; Pseudomonadati; Pseudomonadota; Gammaproteobacteria; Lysobacterales; Lysobacteraceae. The record is from RNAcentral.